This is a long non-coding RNA of Cyclopterus lumpus (lumpfish), 1339 nucleotides long. RefSeq lists it as uncharacterized. Lineage: Eukaryota; Metazoa; Chordata; Actinopteri; Perciformes; Cyclopteridae. The record is from RefSeq and is a predicted model, not a curated record. The transcript has 3 exons.
UGGGAGGUCCAGGGCAGCUGACUGCAGAGAGGACCCAUCCUCAGGCUCCAAACACCGAGCACCUGCUUACAGAGAGGCAAGAAGGUUGACUCAGAGAAAAUCAUCAAGCACAAAGACCUGAUGUGAAAGUGAUUUAGCUGAGGUGAAGCUGGUAGAGAAUAACACACUGUACGGUCAAAGAAGACAGCACAGUGGUUUUCAUCUUGACAGCACAUGAGCUCCACAUGGGAAAUAUGACGCUGUGUGAUUCUCAAGUGUCAACACUGGAAAGAAAACUGGUAGUACUGGUCCUACCAGCUGUUGGAGGUUGAACUCACCGUGAAAGAGCAGGAGGAUAUGCAUCAGGACUGUCAACAUUAUGGACCGAAUCCUUCAGAGAUACAGAGAGAGCAUAAAUAAUGGAAGGAGUUAUAUUUAUUAAUAAACACCUUUACAUGUGGUUUUUAGAUUUAGCAUCUUUUUUAUGUUAAUUAUGUUUCAUAUGGCAUUUCCUGGUGUUAUUUAUUCUCUGUAAUGUGUUUUGUGUCUGUUGUGCACUGUGGACUGUGUCUAUUGUUGUCUGCAUGUUUUGGUGGCAAAUGACUUUCCCCACUGGGGAUAAAUCAAAGUUUUCCAAUCUAAUAUAAACCUUGAUUUGCAGCUGUCAAAAAAAUUAAAACAAUGGUGAGAGAGAAAAGAGACACAGAUGAACACAUACAUUAAGCAAGAUAAGCAUCACGGAUAGUAGAAGUUGAUUUAGAAGGUUGCUGCAUGAACAUAAAGCAGGUGUAAAUGAAGUACUAAAGGUUUCAGUGGUUCAGAGGUUUAUAGCAAUAUUUGUAAUCUUUUCCUAAUUCUAACCGGAGUAAGAGUGUGAACAUUGAACAGAUAUGAUCGAUCUUCAGCGUUCUAGCAUCUACACUCCGGACUGUGCUGGAUAUUAAGUAAUCUCUUCAGGUUAUGGAGGACAUAAAAGACAGUCCAUGCUUAAUGACCAAACAUAAUGGAUUAUGAUCUUAACAUCUGAUUACAACAAAACCACUAUCAUGGGAGAUCAGUGGGAGGUGUGUGUGCACAACUGGGAACGACGUAGUGCCAAGAACAGUUGAAUAACUAGUGAACCGACAUGUGAUGACUCAUCAGGCAAAAGGUCUGCGCUGUGUCUCUAUUGGUACACAGAGCACUUUCUCUGUCUAGCAGGCUGUGGGUUCGGUUUGUUUUAAGUUAGUCGCAUGCUUUGUUUUGCACUACACAAACACAUCAAUCCCUCAUGCAAACGUACAACACUGAUGAACCUGACAUCUGCAUCUUAAAAACACUUAUUUGGCACAAUUUGGUUAGAUUUGAUUUAUUAAACAAU